RNAcentral lists this ribosomal RNA (446 nucleotides) under uncultured bacterium. RNAcentral describes it as "partial 16S ribosomal RNA". It matches the Rfam family "Bacterial small subunit ribosomal RNA", at positions 338 to 795 of the family's 1533-position model. The record is from RNAcentral.
CCUACGGGGGGCAGCAGUCGAGAAUCAUUCACAAUGGGGGAAACCCUGAUGGUGCGACGCCGCGUGGGGGAAUGAAGGUCUUCGGAUUGUAAACCCCUGUCAUGUGGGAGCAAAUUCAAAAGAUAGUCCCACAAGAGGAAGAGACGGCUAACUCUGUGCCAGCAGCCGCGGUAAUACAGAGGUCUCAAGCGUUGUUCGGAAUCACUGGGCGUAAGGCGUGCGUAGGCUGUUUCGUAAGUCGUGUGUGAAAGGCGGGGGCUCAACCCGCGGACGGCACAUGAUACUGGGAGACUAGAGUAAGGGAGAGGGAACCGGAAUGCUCGGUGUAGCAGUGAAAUGCGUAGAUAUCGAGAGGAACACUCGUGGCGAAGGCGGGUUCCUGGACAUUAACUGACGCUGAGGCACGAAGGCCAGGGGAGCGAAAGGGAUUAGAUACCCCUGUAGUC